Molecule: non-coding RNA, 520 nt
Organism: Danio rerio (zebrafish)
Lineage: Eukaryota; Metazoa; Chordata; Actinopteri; Cypriniformes; Danionidae
Source: RefSeq, a predicted model, not a curated record
CCGUCCUCCCCCGUGAUGCUGCUCAGAGUUGGUAUCGGCCAGCUGAAGCGGGAGGUAUAAAUAUCCACUGCUCCCAGUCAAUCUGUUUGACAGUGAUCGCGGAGAUGCAGGACACGCACAGUCGUUUCAUAGGAACCUCGACCCAAACAACGGUUGAAGAAACCUGACGAAGCCUGUGACGGAAACAGGUUUCAGUAACUUUGACUGUUUUCCAGAAGACACUGAUGAUCCUCUGGCUGAUGAAGAGUCCGGCUGGGACUUCUGAUCAAUCAUCGAUCAUUUUAGUCCAAUUUAUACAGAAAAUCUUGAACUGCAACAUGAAAGAUAAAAAAAACAAAAACAAAUCAUUGCUAUUUUAUAUUUAUUGUAAUUUUAUUAUGCAUGCAUGCAUGUACGUAUUCUGUUUAUUAAUUCAUAAUUUUUUUUCUUUAGCUUUAAAGAAAUGGGCAUUGUCUGUUGGUGUGUUUCAAUGCAUUUUGUGAUUAAUAGGUAAAAUGUUAAUAAAAAGAUGCAAAAAAAA